UACGUAGGGUGCAAGCGUUAAUCGGAAUUACUGGGCGUAAAGCGUGCGCAGGCGGUGAUGUAAGACAGGUGUGAAAUCCCCGGGCUUAACCUGGGAACUGCAUUUGUGACUGCAUCGCUGGAGUGCGGCAGAGGGGGAUGGAAUUCCGCGUGUAGCAGUGAAAUGCGUAGAGAUGUGGAGGAACACCGAUGGCGAAGGCAGCCUCCUGGGAUAACACUGACGCUCAGGCACGAAAGCGUGGGGAGCAAACAGG
RNAcentral lists this ribosomal RNA (253 nucleotides) under uncultured bacterium. Its description in RNAcentral is "partial 16S ribosomal RNA". It matches the Rfam family "Bacterial small subunit ribosomal RNA", at positions 524 to 776 of the family's 1533-position model. The record is from RNAcentral.